CCUACGGGGUGCUGCAGUGGGGAAUAUUGGACAAUGGGCGAAAGCCUGAUCCAGCCAUGCCGCGUGUGUGAAGAAGGCCUUCGGGUUGUAAAGCACUUUCAGUGGGGAAGAAAGCCUUGGGGCUAAUACCCUCGAGGAAGGACAUCACCCACAGAAGAAGCACCGGCUAACUCCGUGCCAGCAGCCGCGGUAAUACGGAGGGUGCGAGCGUUAAUCGGAAUUACUGGGCGUAAAGCGCGCGUAGGCGGUCUGAUAAGCCGGUUGUGAAAGCCCCGGGCUCAACCUGGGAACGGCAUCCGGAACUGUCAGGCUAGAGUGCAGGAGAGGAAGGUAGAAUUCCCGGUGUAGCGGUGAAAUGCGUAGAGAUCGGGAGGAAUACCAGUGGCGAAGGCGGUCUUCUGGACUGACACUGACGCUGAGGUGCGAAAGCGUGGGUAGCAAACAGGAUUAGCUACCCCAGUAGUC
RNAcentral lists this ribosomal RNA (465 nucleotides) under Vreelandella stevensii. Its description in RNAcentral is "partial 16S ribosomal RNA". It matches the Rfam family "Bacterial small subunit ribosomal RNA", at positions 338 to 795 of the family's 1533-position model. The record is from RNAcentral. Lineage: Bacteria; Pseudomonadati; Pseudomonadota; Gammaproteobacteria; Oceanospirillales; Halomonadaceae.